RNAcentral lists this ribosomal RNA (623 nucleotides) under Streptomyces sp. D417. RNAcentral's name for it is "bacterial SSU rRNA". It matches the Rfam family "Bacterial small subunit ribosomal RNA", at positions 60 to 698 of the family's 1533-position model. Lineage: Bacteria; Bacillati; Actinomycetota; Actinomycetes; Kitasatosporales; Streptomycetaceae. The record is from RNAcentral.
AGUCGAACGGUGAACCGGUUUCGGCCGGGGAUCAGUGGCGAACGGGUGAGUAACACGUGGGCAACCUGCCCUGCACUCUGGGAUAAGCCCGGGAAACUGGGUCUAAUACCGGAUACGACUUCCCAUCGCAUGGUGGGGGGUGGAAAGUUCCGGCGGUGCAGGAUGGGCCCGCGGCCUAUCAGCUUGUUGGUGGGGUAAUGGCCUACCAAGGCGACGACGGGUAGCCGGCCUGAGAGGGCGACCGGCCACACUGGGACUGAGACACGGCCCAGACUCCUACGGGAGGCAGCAGUGGGGAAUAUUGCGCAAUGGGCGAAAGCCUGACGCAGCGACGCCGCGUGAGGGAUGACGGCCUUCGGGUUGUAAACCUCUUUCAGCAGGGAAGAAGCGCAAGUGACGGUACCUGCAGAAGAAGCACCGGCUAACUACGUGCCAGCAGCCGCGGUAAUACGUAGGGUGCGAGCGUUGUCCGGAAUUAUUGGGCGUAAAGAGCUCGUAGGCGGCUUGUCACGUCGGAUGUGAAAACCCGGGGCUCAACCCCGGGCCUGCAUUCGAUACGGGCAGGCUAGAGUUCGGCAGGGGAGACUGGAAUUCCUGGUGUAGCGGUGAAAUGCGCAGAUAUC